RNAcentral lists this long non-coding RNA (1623 nucleotides) under Triticum aestivum (bread wheat). RNAcentral's name for it is "long non-coding RNA (TAES_LNC009544)". The record is from RNAcentral. Lineage: Eukaryota; Viridiplantae; Streptophyta; Magnoliopsida; Poales; Poaceae.
UCGGAGGUCCAGACUCGGUAUUAAAUAGCAAGCCAUAUGAAGAUUUUGCAUUUAAGUGGCGGCCAUUUUUGGUAGAUACAGUGAGCAGUGGGCAAACAAAUCAUGCCCUGUCAUAGCAUUUUGUAGGUAGAUUGCGCCGAGUACUGUCCAUUCAAACUCCAUCUCCAUGAGAAAACAUCCUAGCACUAUUUAGCUGUAUGUUAUUGACGGCGGACCAAAUGUUCGAGAAUUGUUGUAGACCUUGCAGACCGGCAUCCUCGUUGAAGAACACUAUUCAAUUUGCAUCUGCUCCGUUUUCAACAGCCCUAUUCAUGAGCAGCCUGUCCAGACAAGCCCGACCCGAAAGCCCGGCAUCCGAUCCAGCCAUGGGCUCAACUUUGUCGUCCGAAGCCCAAACAAAGGCCGAAUGAGUUUUAAAUAAUUGUUUUAAUUUAAAAAUAGGUACAGUACUAUAUUUCAAUAACCUGGAAGUAAUUACUUUAAAUAAGAAGGGUACUGUUCAAAUGUUUCUGGCCGGGCCGGAUCUGGGUUUGAUAUUCUUGCUUCGGGCUUUGUCAAGCCCGGCCCGUCCAAGGGCAUGAUCUGGUUCCAGGAAGCCCAAUGCUUGCUUUCCAGUUCGGGGCUGUGUCCACGUCAGUGAUCCGAGGCACUUACCCCUCCACCAAUCAGCGCUCACCUCUCCUCCCCUAUAAAAUCGAACACCCACCCCGCUCCAUUCCCCACACCAUCUCAGUCCCCACCUUUCCCUUCCAGCAAACUCACGCAACCCCACCCGAAGCUCCCAACCCCACCCGAAGCGGCCGCCAUGGCCCCCAAGGCAGACAAGAAGCCGGCCGCCGAGAACAAGGUGGAGAAGGCGGCGGAGAAGACCCCGGCGGGCAAGAAGCCCAAGGCAGAGAAGCGGCUGCCGGCGGGCAAGACGGCGUCCAAGGAGGCCGGCGGCGAGGCGAAGACGAGGGGCCGGAAGAAGGGCAGCAAGGCCAAGAAGGGCGUGGAGACUUACAAGAUCUACAUCUUCAAGGUGCUGAAGCAGGUCCACCCCGACAUCGGCAUCUCCUCCAAGGCCAUGUCCAUCAUGAACUCCUUCAUCAACGACAUCUUCGAGAAGCUCGCCGGCGAGUCCGCCAAGCUCGCCCGUUACAACAAGAAGCCCACCAUCACCUCCCGGGAGAUCCAGACCUCCGUCCGCCUCGUCCUCCCCGGCGAGCUCGCCAAGCACGCCGUCUCCGAGGGCACCAAGGCCGUGACCAAGUUCACAUCCUCCUAGACUGACCCUGCGUCGCUUGCUGUCACCUGCUUGUGGUCGCUGACUCUGCUUAUGUAUCUGCAAGUAGUGGUAGGAGUGGUCGUCUGUGUGCCAACGCUUUGUUGGCUAGUUGGUUGUGGGAACUGAAGUUGCUGAUCUAUUUGAAUGUUAUUGUUUCAAGUAGUAGUACUUUUGCUGAAUUUCAGGGGAAUCGCUGAAUGCUUGCUGUCGCCUCGUUGGUGUGAGAACUGAAUUUUGUCAUGCCAACUGAGAUUCAGAGAAGUCAGAGAUAGUUAUGCAUUUCUGUAUUGGUAAUUUCGAGUUUUACUAGGUGCUUAAACUAAUCUCUGCCAUGUUUGUGCUUUCAUUUCGUAACG